GUCGAACGCUGGCGGCGUGCUUAACACAUGCAAGUCGAACGGCAGCGCCCUGCUUUUGUUGGGUGCUCGAGUGGCGAACGUGUGAGUUACACGUGAGUAACCUGCCCUUUACUUUGGGAUAACUUCAGGAACCUGUUGCUACUACCUGAUAGGAGCUCCUGCUGCAUGGUGGGUGUUGGAAAUUUUCGUCUGUUGGGGAUGGACUCGCGGCUUAUCAGCUUGUUGGUGGGGUAGUGGCUUACCCAGGCUUUGACGGGUAGCCGGCCUGAGAGGGUGACCGGCCACAUUGGGACUGAGGUAAGGCACAGACUCCUACGGGAGGAAGAAGGGGGGAAUAGUGCACAAUGGGUGGAAGCCUGAUGCAGCAACGCCGCGGGCGGGAUGACGGCCUUCGGGUUGUAAAACGCUUUCGCGUGAGAAGAAGGGGGAGAGACGGGAACGGGUAAAAAAGCAACGGCUAACUAAGGGC
This 469-nucleotide ribosomal RNA is filed under the name uncultured bacterium. RNAcentral's name for it is "partial 16S ribosomal RNA". It matches the Rfam family "Bacterial small subunit ribosomal RNA", at positions 28 to 508 of the family's 1533-position model. The record is from RNAcentral.